This is a long non-coding RNA of Scophthalmus maximus (turbot), 1868 nucleotides long. RefSeq lists it as uncharacterized. The transcript is spliced from 4 exons. The record is from RefSeq and is a predicted model, not a curated record. NCBI's taxonomy places the organism in Eukaryota, Metazoa, Chordata, Actinopteri, Pleuronectiformes, Scophthalmidae.
CACGCUCCUAAUUACAGGCCACUGAAGGCUACGUGGGAGUUGUCCCAGCGAUAGUCAGUGGUUAGUGUUGAAACGCAGAGGGAACAGUGUGUCACACAGACUGUGUGUCUCUUCCUCCGGAGGCCCCAGCACCGUGCUGGAAGUUGACCGGUGACCACAGGUGACGGCCCAGAUCUGCGAAACCACUGGUAUGUUGUCGCCCAAACUCCGACACCACCUCCAAGCUUCAGCUCAAGGAUGAAUGCAGAUUGAAUCCGUGUGGAGUCCAGUGACACUGCCGAGCCCUCUUAUCGCCACACUCUGAUCAAAAAAAAGCGCUGUCAGCGGACUUGCUCACAACACCGGGACGAGGUGUGGCUUGGAUCAGCGAUAAAACUCUUAUCGAAGCCGAUUGACUGAGAUAAGGAUCCGCACGAGGUUCAUGUAACAGUCGGUGUUGACGCGCCGUGGACUCCAACCGGCAGAGUCAUGUGGCUCCAGCUCUGUGGACGAUGUGUUGGUCCACAGAGAGAAGCAAACAGAGAAGAGGCUGAGGAGGGAGGAGGACACGUGGAUCACACACACACACACACACACACACACACGCACACCUUACCGAUGUUUUCCCCGGCUGUAUGUACAGCGUGUUUCUCCCAGUGACAGAGGGACGUUGAGUGCAACUCAACUCACACUGCGUCAGACACACACAUGCACACGCUCUUCUCUGCGGUUUGGAGAUGUCACGUCUGGCUGAGUUUGGAGUGCAUCUAAGGGGCUGUGAUUAUUAUUCUCCAGUGCAGACGGCACGCGCACACAUGCACUCGCGCUCAGGCACGAUCACGAAGCGCUCACACUCCUCUCUGGAGGGCCUCGGUCGAGCUGGGGACUCAUCCAGCGUGAAGGCUGCAGUCGAUGACUCCGCUCAGCGCGGUUUAACGUUGCCUCGAGCUCCUUUCGAUCCACACCUGUGCUUACUGUCUGUGCACUCUACUCAUUGUUCUGCCUGCUACAUUCACACACGCGCAACGAGCUCUGUUCACUUCAACGACCACUGUAAGGACAUAGUCAAAGACGUAGUGUCUUUGAUGGUUUGUGUGUUGGCAAAAAACGGCACACUUUGUUCUUUUCCCUGUUGCCCAAAGGUUUUUGUUGGUUAUUUAUAAUUCAUCCAGUUGCUUAUUCUUAAAUGUAUUGUGCAGUAAUCUCACACCUCUGCACUCUGUUUUGCACAUCUUUCACUGUGCCACACCAUCUUUCAGUCACUCUAACGUCACUUCUUCUUGAUCAUUCUUUGUCACUGUCGAACCUACAAUUAUAUAUUGCAUUUAAGUGGACUCCUCCUGUAUAUUCUGCAUAUUCUCCAUUAAAUAAGAUCACAGCAAAAACGCCCCCUUUCAUCAGUUCAAUGUUAUGAAUAGAAUAGUUUAGUUUUAAAUUUGACGUGCAUUUGGGGCCUUGUUGUUGUGCUUUUAUAAAAAUGCACUAAGACAGACGUUAACUCUUUCAUCUUGUUUCAACAGCAAUUUAUUUACUCUGUCACACGGGCCACUAGAAAACAACUAAAGACUGAAGUUAGUUUUCUCAACACUUUUGACAAAAGACUCAUGAUGAACGGACAUGAAGAACACUCUUGUGGAUGCGGCAAGAGCACUCAGUCAUGCAAGGUUUGAAAGAAUGCAACCAUCUUUUUGUGUGUGUUACUCUUAAAAUAGACUCUAUAUAUUUUUUUAUAGAAUGGGGGAGGGGGCGCUGUAAUAUAACCACACAAAAUUGCUAUGUGGAUUAUCACAAACCAUUGAUACCAGCAGGAAUGUAAAUUUGAGACAGUUGUUUUCCGAUAAAAGUUUCAAACAUCUCAUUCUUCAGAAAAGAAAUGACGACCUCAGUAU